Molecule: ribosomal RNA, 253 nt
Filed under: uncultured bacterium
Lineage: Bacteria
Description: partial 16S ribosomal RNA
Rfam family: Bacterial small subunit ribosomal RNA
Source: RNAcentral
UACGGAGGGUGCAAGCGUUAAUCGGAAUUACUGGGCGUAAAGCGCACGCAGGUGGCUGAGUCAGUCGAUUGUGAAAGCCCUGGGCUUAACCUGGGAAUUGCAGUCGAUACUACUCAGCUAGAGUAUGGGAGAGGGUAGUGGAAUUCCCGGUGUAGCGGUGAAAUGCGUAGAUAUCGGGAGGAACAUCAGUGGCGAAGGCGGCCUUCUGGCCCAGUACUGACACUCAAGUGCGAAAGCGUGGGGAGCAAACAGG